ACCUGGCUGGCUCAGUUGGUAAGAGCAUGUGACUCUUGAUCUUGAGGUUGUGAGUUAGAGCCCCACGUUGGGUC
Molecule: transfer RNA, 74 nt
Organism: Felis catus (domestic cat)
Lineage: Eukaryota; Metazoa; Chordata; Mammalia; Carnivora; Felidae
Rfam family: tRNA
About the family: Transfer RNA (tRNA) molecules are approximately 80 nucleotides in length.
Source: Rfam